Molecule: long non-coding RNA, 531 nt
Organism: Aquila chrysaetos chrysaetos
Lineage: Eukaryota; Metazoa; Chordata; Aves; Accipitriformes; Accipitridae
Exons: 4
Source: RefSeq, a predicted model, not a curated record
GGUCAGACUGAUCAGCAAUGAGUUUCUUUCAAAAGCAACUGUAGUUCAGAGUCCUGUGGUAUGACCUUGCUAGGGCUGUAAGUGUGUGUUUAAUUCACAAAUCCUCUCUUGUUAAAAGAAAAGAAGAAAAAAAUCUGUUAUCAGUGUAGCAGUGAGCAGAGCAAGCAUGUUAAUGACUGGAGCUGAGGGAUGAGCAUGGAAGACCCAGCUUACUGUCCUGCUUGUCUGUUACCAUAGGACUACAGAAAGCCAGUAUCUCAAUGGGAUAUCUGCUCUUUUAAAGGCCUCAUGCGUUACAACCAAAACAUCAGACUCCAUCUUUUCCCCUGAGGAGAAUGGGAGAAGAGGAUGCCAAGUUCCAGAGAACAAUAAACACUUUGGGCCAAAUCCUCCCUUCGUCUAUGGUGGUGUAAAUCUAACGUCUCUUCAUCCAGCUGACAGCAGAAACACAACAGAACAACAUUAUUCUCUAGCGGUCAACAUUAAUUGCAAACUGAUGGCCACUUCUGAACAUGGGAGUCUUCACUGGGC